GUGAGGAAUAUUGCGCAAUGGACGAAAGUCUGACGCAGCAACGCCGCGUGGGCGAAGAAGGCCUUCGGGUUGUAAAGCCCUUUUCUGAGGGACGAGAGAGGACGGUACCUCAGGAAUAAGUCUCGGCUAACUACGUGCCAGCAGCCGCGGUAAAACGUAGGAGGCGAGCGUUAUCCGGAUUUAUUGGGCGUAAAGCGCGUGCAGGUGGUAUCGUAAGUCGGAUGUGAAAGCCUCUGGCUCAACUGGAGGAUGUCGUUCGAUACUGCGGAACUUGAGGUCGGGAGGGGGAAGCGGAAUUCCCGGUGUAGUGGUGGAAUGCGUAGAUAUCGGGAGGAACACCAGUGGCGAAGGCGGCUUCCUGGCCCGCACCUGACACUAAGACGCGAAAGCGUGGGGAGCGAACGGGAUUAGAAACCCUAGUAGUCC
This 426-nucleotide ribosomal RNA is filed under the name uncultured bacterium. RNAcentral's name for it is "partial 16S ribosomal RNA". It matches the Rfam family "Bacterial small subunit ribosomal RNA", at positions 354 to 796 of the family's 1533-position model. The record is from RNAcentral.